CACGUAGGGCGCGAGCGUGUCCGGAAUUAUUGGGCGUAAAGAGCUCGUAGGCGGCCUGUUGCGUCCGCUGUGAAAGCCCGGGGCUUAACCCCGGGUCGCAGUGGAUACGGGCAGGCUAGAGGUAGGUAGGGGAGAAUGGAAUUCCCGGUGUAGCGGUGAAAUGCGCAGAUAUCGGGAGGAACACCGGUGGCGAAGGCGGGUCUCUGGGCCGAUACUGACACUGAGGAGCGAAAGCGUGGGGAGCGAACAGG
This 251-nucleotide ribosomal RNA is filed under the name uncultured bacterium. Its description in RNAcentral is "partial 16S ribosomal RNA". It matches the Rfam family "Bacterial small subunit ribosomal RNA", at positions 524 to 776 of the family's 1533-position model. The record is from RNAcentral.